Molecule: ribosomal RNA, 468 nt
Filed under: uncultured bacterium
Lineage: Bacteria
Description: partial 16S ribosomal RNA
Rfam family: Bacterial small subunit ribosomal RNA
Source: RNAcentral
GACGAACGCUGGCGGCGCGCCUAACACAUGCAAGUCGAACGGAGCUGCGAGAAGCUUGCUUUUCUUAGCUUAGUGGCGAACGGGUGAGUAACGCGUGAGUAACCUGCCCUGGAGUGGGGGACAACAGUUGGAAACGACUGCUAAUACCGCAUAAGCCCACGAUCCGGCAUCGGAUUGAGGGAAAAGGAUUUAUUCGCUUCAGGAUGGACUCGCGUCCAAUUAGCUAGUUGGUGAGGUAACGGCCCACCAAGGCGACGAUUGGUAGCCGGACUGAGAGGUUGAACGGCCACAUUGGGACUGAGACACGGCCCAGACUCCUACGGGAGGCAGCAGUGGGGGAUAUUGCACAAUGGGGGAAACCCUGAUGCAGCGACGCCGCGUGGAGGAAGAAGGUUUUCGGAUUGUAAACUCCUGUCGUUAGGGACGAUAAUGACGGCACCUAACAAGAAAGCACCGGCUAACUACGUG